AUGAGGAGGAAACCUGAACAGAAAUUCCUGAAAGGGCUAAGAGAGACUCCCCAACACAGCCAAGCCUUUCCAAAAGCCAGGAGGAGGAGAGGACUCCGACUCCGGCCACAGGCCCAGGGCAACGUGCUGGGCCCCGGAGUGUCCUGCUCCCUGGGGCCCCAGGGCAGGUGCGGCCCAGCUCACCCCAGCUCACGGUCACAGGCUCACAUGCAGCUCUCACACAGCAGCAGCCAAGGCCCAGGCAGGAACCACAGGCAGGGCCUGGGGAACAUCUCUGCCCCCUCCCAGGCCCCAUCUGUACUCGCCUAGCUAAAAAGAGCCACUCUCGUCAUUAGCAGUGUAAAAAGGACACCUUCCCUCUCAGUUUGGAUCUGGCCUGGCACACACACUGCUGAGUCAUCUGUGACUGGGGGUAGGGACCAGGGAGGGUGGACACAGUUGAGUCAGAGGCAGGUCUGUGGGCAGCAAUGUCUGCCUCUCCCCCACAGGGAGUGAGGGCUGCCCUCCAGGGACAACCUGGGCAGGGAGAGAAGGGCCCAGACCUGCCAGGCCACCAGGAGCACUCUGUGCCUGGGGAGUAGCUAGGGAAAGGACAAAUGCAUCUGGCCUGUCUGUGCUGCAGAGCGGGGCAAGGCCACCAAAGCAUCAAAGGGAAAUGGCCCCAAAACUGGCUCUCUCUAGAGGAAAGCCGACCAGCAAGCUGGGGUUGAAGUGUGCUGUUCUCGCCUCCUGUGCAACAGCAACUGGAAAGCCCACUCUAUGGGCCCAGAUGAGCCGACAGCAUGAGAAGGCUGUGAGAUUUCUGAUGCACAGAUGUAGAAGCUCUGAGUGGCUCUGAGAAACUUGAACCACAACACAAAAGGGGCGUGUGUGACGGGGGUGUCUGCACUCCCUGGUGUGGUCUGCAGGAGACAGAAGCACCCUGGGUCUGCUGAUGCCAGGGUUCUCUCAGACCCUACUUCAGCAACUGGAGAGGCGUGGACAUUUAAACCUUUUAGGAGGCCCUCAGGCCUCUCUGCUCCACAUGGAAGUCAGCAGCCCUCUCUGCUCUGGCUGGCUUCUCCAAGGCACCUCCUGGCCCCACCUAGGGCUCAGGGCAGGACUCUCUCGUGCAGUGAGUCAGCGGGGUACUAACUGGGCUCACUUCUGACAGUACCGCUCCCAGCAUGCGCUCGGCUUCCAGCCCCAGAGACCAACACUGCUAAGUAGGACAAGGGAUCCGGAGCCCUCGAUGGCACCCUCCACUCGGCAGCCUGCUCCCCCACCACUCCAACCCCUCCCGCUCCUCACCACGCAAACCUGCCUGCCAACACAGCAGGGGCCACAGAAAGCCUGCCACCAGAGCCACCACAGGGAUAUGCAAUGGGCCCAGCCAGGCCUAAGGGCCCAUCACAGGGAGAUGCAAGAAAGGGAGCAGGUGACAGAAGCACGGCGGCUCCCUCCACAAAGCUGCGGCCCCCGCAGGGCUCCCUCCCUGGUGAAAAGUUCCAGGACCACCACGGGAGGGGCAUAAAGAGCCAAACACACCCGGUCCCCUCGGCCACAGCAGGACCAGCACACAGUUGGGGCAGGGCGGGCGCAUGGUUCGGACUGAUGCUAGGAGAAACUGGUGACACCAGGUCUGUCCACUAGUCUGGGUGGGACUGGGCUGACGUGCACGGAGCUGGGUCCCCACAGCAACGAGGGCACACGGAGGCCUCCACGGAGCACAGAGAGCAAGCAAAGCAACCCUGAAUUCCUUUGUGUUUGUUACUGGUUUUGUUCUUUGUGUGAUUGGGUGUUUUUUUUCUUCUUUUCUUUUAAAUAAAAAUGCUGCAAGGUUUCCGCC
This 1828-nucleotide non-coding RNA is filed under the name Pan troglodytes (chimpanzee). The record is from RNAcentral. Lineage: Eukaryota; Metazoa; Chordata; Mammalia; Primates; Hominidae.